ACCAUAGCUAGCCUUACUAUCCAUUCAGGAAGAAGCGGUUCUGAUUAGCUUAGCUAGCUAAAAAUCUUUAUAGUGCAAAAAUGGCGUCGGUCAACCCGUUUAAUCUCAGUGAUUCCGAGGAAGAGGCUGAACGGCGCCCCAAUGAAACAGUUGACACAGAGAGAAGCCCGAGUGACGGGGCACCGGGGCCGCCACCAGGUAAUCCUUUCUCUCCGCCAGCGGACGCCGAGCCUCCAACGCUUCUGCUGUCUAGCAACCGGACGAGCCCCAGCGGUGAGGGCUCGGGCUCGGUCGCGGCCACCGCCGCUAUGGCAGGCACCGCCGAGACACGGAUAUCAGUGGAUGUUAUCGCCGCUCAGCUGUUACGGGACCAAUAUAUUCUCACGGCCCUGGAGUUUCACACAGAACUGUUGGAAGCAGGCAGAGAGCUCCCGAGGCUGAGGGAUUAUUUCUCUAACCCGGGCAACUUCGAGCGACAGAGCGGCACACCGCCUGCCAAGGACCAGGUACUCGGACCCGGAGGACCAUUGAACCGAGCCGGCAGCAUCAGCACCUUAGACUCUCUGGACUUCGCCCGUUACUCAGAUGACGGCAACCGAGAGUCGGACGAGCGGGUGGCAGUGCUGGAGUUUGAGCUACGGAAAGCAAAGGAGACCAUUCAGGCUCUGCGCGCCAACUUGACUCAGGCAGCAGAGAGCGAAGUGCCCUCUCAGGAGAGAAAAAACUUCAAGUCGAGUCCUGAAAUUCAGGAGCCUUUACGCCCACUGGAGAAAAGAGCCUUAAACUUCCUUGUGAAUGAAUAUUUAUUAAAAAACGAAUACAAACUCUCAUCCAUCACCUUCUCUGAUGAGAAUGACGAUCAGGACUUUGAGUUGUGGGAUGACGUCGGCCUCAACAUCCCAAAACCCCCCGACCUGUUACAGCUCUACAGGAACUGUGGUACCCCCCUCCCUUCUCCUCGGGACACGGUUGAUGUUUCAGUAGGCGUGGAUUUCGGCGAUCUUCCAGGAAACUGCAUCGCCCAAGAUCCCCCAAAGAAGCCUGACCUCUCACAUCAGCAACAGACAGAAGUCGUCCAAGAGUUGGAGUACCAGAUAAGCCUCCUCAACAAUGAGAAGCAGAGCCUUGCUGAGCAGAUCAAGAAACUGCAGAGUGAGAUUCAAACACUAAAGAGGACUGUCUCCUCCCCACCUCCGGCCACUCUGGACUUGGGCUCCCAGAAUACAUCCAAUCCUUCCUCCUCCACCACCGCCAUCACUUCCUCCACCGACCCUCCCUCUGUGCCUCCGACAGAUAACGGCCAGUAUCUGGACAUCCGGGGUGUUUCAGAGCCUGAAACUAAACCGGACCCCCCCUCUGCUCAGAGCAUAUCACAGCCUCACCCACAGUCCCACAAUAAGCUUAAGAGUCGGCCUCCUGUCCAGUUCGAUCAGCCCAACAGGAAGCUAUCCCCGGCCUUCCUGCAAGCCCUGCUGUCCUUCUGCAGAAUGUGCUCCGACAGCCGCUUGGGAGCAGAGGUGUCCCGCAUAGCAGACAGUGAGGAGAGCGUGAUGUUAAUGCUGGGCCGCUGCCUCCCUCACAUCGUCCCUAAUGUCCUCCUUGCUAAACGAGAGAGAAUGGUUGCACAUCUUUGCCAGGAAUUGAUCCCACUCAUCUUAUGUACUGCCUGCCUUCACCCAGAGCCUAAAGAGAGAGACCAGCUCCUCCACAUCCUCUUUAAUUUAAUCAAGAGACCAGAUGAUGAGCAAAGACAAAUGAUCUUGACAGGAUGUGUUGCAUUCGCAAGGCAUGUGGGUCCCACGCGUGUCGAGGCUGAGCUACUUCCUCAGUGCUGGGAACAGAUUAACCACAAAUAUCCGGAGAGGAGAUUGUUGGUGGCGGAGUCCUGUGGGGCCUUAGCACCAUACCUGCCUAAGGAGAUCCGUAGCUCCUUAGUGUUGUCCAUGUUGCAGCAGAUGCUCGCUGAGGAUAAGGCUGACAUGGUUAGAGAGGCUGUGGUCAAGAGUCUGGGUAUCAUCAUGGGUUACAUUGAUGACCCUGACAAGUACUCCCAGGGUUUUGAGCUGAUGCUGCUGUCACUGGGGGACCCAUCAGAGCGGGUGGUCAGUGCAGUCCAUCAGGUCUUCAUUCCUGCCUUUGCUGCCUGGACUACAGAGCUGGGCACCCUGCAAUCUGCACUCAUCCCUUCUCUGUUGGCACGUAUAGAGAAGCUACUUAUGCAAGGAGAACAUGGUCUGGAUGAACACAAGCUCCACGUGUUCCUUUCGGCCCUGCAGUCUCUCAUCCCUCCUCUGUUCGCCGUGGUGCUGCAGAAUGCACCCUUCACCAGCAGAGCCAAACUCAACGGAGACAUACCUGCAAUAGAGGUGACGCGGUUCCCCAGGCCAGCGUCGCCCCUCCAGGACGUGGCAACCAUCAUCGGCAGCAGGGAGAUGCUGAGUGCUCUGCUGCUGCUCUACGACCACCAGCUGGAGCAUGAGGGAACCACUGGCUGGGACAGCCUGCUAUGGGUGGUCAACCAACUCCUUCCGCAGCUCAUAGAGAUCGUGGGUCGUAUCAAUGUUACGUCAUCGACCUGCGUGCACGAGUUCUCACGCUUCUUCUGGAGGUUCUGUCGCACCUUCGGCAAGAUUUUUACCAACGCUAAGGUCAAACCACAGUUCCAAGAGAUCCUCCGACUAUCUGAGGAGAAUGUUGAUGUUACAGCAGGGAACGAUAUUCUCACCAAAGCCACAGUCCCUAUCUAUGCCACUGGAGUGCUGACUUGUUACAACCAGGACGAGGAUCGCAAAUUGUUGGUGGGUUUCCUGGAGGAUGUCAUGACAACACUGUCCCUGUCCCAUGCACCUCUGGACAGCUUAAAGGCCUCCUUUGUAGAGCUAGGUGCCAACCCAGUGUACCAUGAAUUGCUGCUCACUGUUCUGUGGUAUGGGGUCGUCCAUACCUCUGCACUGGUCCGGUGUACUGCAGCACGGAUGUUUGAGCUGCUGGUGAAGGGGGUGAAUGAGACGCUGGUAGCUCAGAGAGUGGUGCCGGCUCUCAUCACACUGUCCUCCGACCCUGAAAUUUGGUUCUCCGAGGCAUGAGUGAAGCAUUAGUAGAUCGCCGUGCGGCUCCGGCCCUUAUAACUCUGUGCAGUGGGCCUGAAUUGUGAGUCAAUCGACACAAGAAAACCUCUCUGUAAACAUUGUCAUUUUGUGGGCUGCAUUCUUACAGUGUGAAGCAACAUCCUGCUAGAAAUCUGUCUUACUGAGCUUGAAUGGGCACUAAAAAAAAAAAAAAAGACAUUUGACACAUAAACUGUUCAGUACAUCUGAAGAACAUCAGUGGCAGCUUCUUUAACCACCACAAACAUUCAGUGGAAAAGGAAGUCAGGGUCUGAAGUCAUUUGCCACUCUUCCUGUAUCCUGUCUUCAAUGAUCCACCAGUCUGGAGCCGCAGUGAAUGGCUAAACAUUUGAAGUUGGAUGAAUACUGAAAUCUAACUUUAAUCACAUUUGUCCUUUUCAUUGUAGUAUAAACACAACAAUCUUCUUAGCUGUACUUUGACAGUUAUUCAAAGACCAGCUCUCCUACAAAUACAUAUUUAGGGCUGCAAGCGUAUAGCCGUCAUGUUUGUGAUUAGACAAGAUAAAUAAAUUAGUGGCAACACUGUUGGAAUGCAGCCCUUCUCAUCUCAUCAUUCUCUGUAUUGAAAAUCACAUGCUAAUGGGUACACACUUGACCCAACUUGUAGAUUCAACACCUUGAAAUAUGUUGUUUUGUAACCUUUAAGAUUUUUGGCCUGUUGUCUUUCACAUGUGUUGCUGUGUCCAGGAUCAGCAGAGUCCAAGAUGGCUCAAGUGUAUCUUUAAGUCUUUCCUGCUACUACUGACAGUGGAAUGAUUAUCUAGCAUCACCCUAACAGCACCCCAUUAAUCUUGCUUAUCGCAGCUCAUUAAAAUCAUAGAGGAUUUUUAAUUUGCAUCAUCAAGUUUUGGUAUUUUUCAUGACGGCUUUGGGAAUCGAAUUAUCCCUUUUUUUAAAGAAGUACUUGUGAUCUCUUUAUCUUUGGGAUUGUUAGCUUUUAGCUGUUAGCUCAAGAAUGAUGUGGUGAAUAUAUCCAUUACAGAUCUAAUCAAGUGUACGUUUAGAUCUGGGUCAAAUAUUAUUAACAACAUUUAGUAUUUAUGUUUUAUAGUUUUUAGGUUGCACUGAUUGAUUGUGCAGAUUUCAGUCAGAUGAUUGUUGUUGCAACUGCCCAGUCAAAUAGAAACUCAGUAGCUGUUAGCUAAAAAACUGGCAGUCCCCGUGAGCGGUCAUCUCAGUCAUCACUAUGGUUACCAGCGUGUCAUUACUAUGUAAUCACUGUAUUUGAUAAAACGCAAAACAUGUGGUAGAAGUUGUACAAGUACAAGAAGUACCUUUUUGUGGUUUUAGAAAAAUGCUUAUUGGGCGCUUGGUGUGCCGUUGUAAUAACAAAUAUGCAGAGAAAUAUUUAAUUUCUUAGACUUAUUUUUGAGUAUAACUUUGCAGUGGUCUGUUUUAUUUAUUGAUUCAGUUCGUAACAGUAUUUGAAAAAUCAAUAUAGCCCCAGGAAACCAAAUUGCUGCCUCCCUGCUAAUCACAUAACCUGAGGCCAUUUAAGUCAAUGUAGUUAAAACCCAACAAUCUGAUUAUUCAAACAUAUUUAAAUAAAUCUGCAAACUAUAUUCAGAGAAUAUUUGACUCUUUGUGAUUCCUGCUAAAAGGCACACUUAUGGAGAAUUUGGGGAAGACCUAAAAGUAGCGAUACGGUGACUAUGAAUGGUCAAACCUUUGUCUUGCUCUCCCGCCGCUUUUAGCUCAGUGAGGAUAUCCACUAUCCCUGCCUUUGGUACUAUCAUGGAGACCGUCACACAGAAAGAGUUGCUGGAGCGUGUAAAAAUGCAGCUGGCCUCAUUCCUGGAGGACCCGCAGUACCAAGAUCAGCACUCUUUGCACAUGGAGA
Epinephelus lanceolatus (giant grouper) is the source of this 4968-nucleotide non-coding RNA. NCBI's taxonomy places the organism in Eukaryota, Metazoa, Chordata, Actinopteri, Perciformes, Serranidae. The record is from RefSeq and is a predicted model, not a curated record.